CUUUGGAGUGCAGCUGGACCUCACACUGCGCUCCAAAGGCUUCGGGUUCCUUUUCCUGAAGCCGGGAGAGCAAGACUCUCCUGGCUUCAGCGAAAGGAACCCGAAGCCUUUGGAGCGCAGUGCGAGGUCCCGCUGUGCUCCAAA
Non-coding RNA from Podarcis lilfordi (Lilford's wall lizard), 144 nucleotides. The record is from the annotation of a GenBank genome assembly. Lineage: Eukaryota; Metazoa; Chordata; Lepidosauria; Squamata; Lacertidae.